Molecule: ribosomal RNA, 1053 nt
Filed under: uncultured archaeon
Lineage: Archaea
Description: bacterial SSU rRNA
Rfam family: Archaeal small subunit ribosomal RNA
Source: RNAcentral
GCUCAGUAACACGUGGAUAACAUGCCCUGAAGUGGAGGAUAAUCUCGGGAAAUUGAGGAUAAUACUCCAUAGAUCAUAGGAUCUGGAAUGACUUAUGGUCGAAAGUUCCGGCGCUUCAGGAUUGGUCUGCGGCCUAUCAGGUCGUAGUGGGUGUAACGGACCCACUAGCCGAUGACGGGUAUGGGCCUUGAGAGAGGGAGCCCAGAGAUGGAUUCUGAGACACGAAUCCAGGCCCUACGGGGCGCAGCAGUCGCGAAAACUUCACACUGGAGGCAACUCCGAUGAGGGAAUUCCUAGUGCUAGCACAUUAGUGCUAGCUUUUCUUAAGCGUAGAUAACUUAAGGAAUAAGGGCUGGGUAAGACGGGUGCCAGCCGCCGCGGUAAUACCCGCAGCCCAAGUGGUGGUCGAUUUUAUUGAGUCUAAAACGUUCGUAGCCGGUUUGGUAAAUCCUUGGGUAAAUCGAGAGGCUUAACUUUUCGAAUUCCGAGGAGACUGCCAAACUUGGGACCGGGAGAGGCGAGAGGUACUUCUGGGGUAGGGGUAAAAUCCUGUAAUCCUAGAAGGACCACCGGUGGCGAAGGCGUCUCGCUAGAACGGAUCCGACGGUGAGGGACGAAGCCCUGGGGUCGCAAACGGGAUUAGAUACCCCGGUAGUCCAGGGUGUAAACGCUGCAGACUUGGUGUUGGGGGCCCUACGGGGGCGUUCAGUGCCGGAGAGAAGUUGUUAAGUCUGCUACUUGGGGAGUACGUCCGCAAGGAUGAAACUUAAAGGAAUUGGCGGGGGAGCACCGCAACGGGAGGAGCGUGCGGUUUAAUUGGAUUCAACACCGGAAAACUCACCAGCGGCGACUGUUACAUGAAAGUCAGGCCGAUGACCUUACUAGAUUUUCAGAGAGGUGGUGCAUGGCCGUCGUCAGUUCGUACCGUAAGGCGUUCUCUUAAGUGAGAUAACGAACGAGACCCUCACCAAUAGUUGCUACCCAGUCCUCCGGGGCUGGGGCACACUAUUGGGACCGCUGGCGCUAAGUCAGAGGAAGGAGUGGACGACGGUA